This 289-nucleotide ribosomal RNA is filed under the name uncultured bacterium. RNAcentral's name for it is "partial 16S ribosomal RNA". The record is from RNAcentral.
CUACUGGGGUUUCUAAUCCGGAUCGCUCCCCACGCUUUCGCGCCUCAGCGUCAGCAAAGCUCCAGGCAACCGCCUUCGCCACUGGUGUUCCUCCCGAUAUCUACGCAUUCCACCACUACACCGGGAAUUCCAUUGCCCCCUAGCUUGCUCCAGCCACGCCGUAUCCGCCGACCCCGCCCAGUUGAGCCGGGCGAUUUCACAACGGACGUGCGUGGCCGCCUACGCGCCCUUUACGCCCAAUAAAUCCGGGCAACGCUUGCACCCUACGUAUUACCGCGGCUGCUGGCAC